AGUAAGAUAAGCUAAAUUCAAGCUGUUGGGUUCAUACCCCAAAUAUAAAGAUUACUUUUCUUUCUA
Molecule: transfer RNA, 66 nt
Filed under: Eremobates cf. palpisetulosus SEM-2008
Lineage: Eukaryota; Metazoa; Arthropoda; Arachnida; Solifugae; Eremobatidae
Description: tRNA-Met
Source: RNAcentral